UGCAUUAUUUUUAUGAUUCCUUUUUCUAGGCUGCUAGUUGCUGAGUUGAAAUGGAUCACAUGCUUAUUUAAAUAAAAAAGGAACAGAGCGUCUAAACUCCAUGUAAAAGAGAACUCAGCACUCUAAUCGCAGAAGUUCCAGCUGCUAUGCAACACUGAAUCAUGCACUAUCUGGAUUUUCUUGUUGUCUUUUAAGUAAUUGCUGUAUGCCAUGACCCAUGAUCUUUGUUUCCCUGGAACUGCAGAAUUUGCUGUUACAACUCCCUCCUGGAAGAACAAGAAAGAGCAGAAAACUUUUCAUCAGGCUUCAGAUCAGGCAGCAGAUGGCAACUUUGGUUAUCCUCUGAUCGGGCUGCCUUGAAUUAGAGAUGAGCCCCAUCCCCUUCCAAGCAAGCACAAUGCAAGGCUGAGCUGGGAGUUGGAUCAUGUCUAAACAUUGUGUCUGGAUUCAGAGCUCACCAGAGUUUUGCUGUACUUGAUCCAAGAGCUUGGCUGGAGCCAAGUUCUAAUUAAGGCUGGUAACUUGUCAGAGACAAGCUCUGUGUGCUGCCAGCAGCAUCUCUGUGUUACCUAUCUCCUGUACUGAGAUUUUAGGCCAGAUAAACUGUCUCCAGGUUACAAGUAGUCCCUAUGGACUGCCUGUAGCUUAUAGUUUUGACACCUGAAAUAAAAAGGAAAAAAAAAAAAAAAGCUGUUUGGCUUGGUAGUACUUUACUUACCUCCUUAUAACCAACUGGAUGUAGGGCAUGAUUUUUAUUAACACUCUCCUGAUAAGUUAAUGUAAGAUAACCUUUGAAGCAAUCGGUGUCAUUUACAUAGGUGUUUGCAAAUCAGAUGCAGCUUGUUUGUUCCCAUGGCACUGCACAGAGAAAAAGGAACACCAUCUUGACAGUGGACCUGCUGGUGCCGAGAGGACAAAACUGCAGCACCCCUGGAAUGAAUUAACUUACACUCUGCUUCAGCUUGUACCACCAGAGCUUAUAGUCCAAGCGGGAACAUGCAAGCCCUCUUUCAUUCAGGUAAGGAAAGUUCAUUUCUUGUACAAUUACAGAGCCUUGGUUCUUCUGUGCCAUAUAAUCACAGACAUCUCUUACUACCAUGACCAUGAAGUGAUCUUGCAUCCACUUCUAAAGGAUUCCAGACUCUUGCAGCCUG
Molecule: long non-coding RNA, 1154 nt
Filed under: Coturnix japonica (Japanese quail)
Lineage: Eukaryota; Metazoa; Chordata; Aves; Galliformes; Phasianidae
Description: lncRNA (ENSCJPG00005017693.1)
Source: RNAcentral